Lonchura striata (white-rumped munia) is the source of this 396-nucleotide long non-coding RNA. RefSeq lists it as uncharacterized. The record is from RefSeq and is a predicted model, not a curated record. NCBI's taxonomy places the organism in Eukaryota, Metazoa, Chordata, Aves, Passeriformes, Estrildidae.
UGGUUUCUUUGAGGAAGAGUGUCUUUGUAUCUACAGAGCUUCACAGUGCUUCCAGGUAGGAGUCUCUUUCUACAACAGGAUUUUCAAGGAAGAUCCUUCUAGCCUUGCUCAUGACGGGGGCUUGGAAUACACAGGUAGUAGCCAGGCCUGAGUUACAACAUCUAGAACCACACCAAAGUCCCCAGAACUCCCUGCUGUAAGUAAAGCCACGAAAUGAAGGGAAUCUCUCUCCUACAAUCCACCCCAAGAUGAAUCAGGCCGUGUUCUGUUGUGCUGGUAAGCUUUAUUGUUUGCUGCGUCGAUACAAUUUUUCAAGAUUCUAAUGGAUAAGGCAGUGUACAGAGAAAAUGAGGCUUGCAUUGUGAAGUUCUUCAUUAAUAAAGCUUCAGAUUAAGC